Bos taurus (domestic cattle) is the source of this 1760-nucleotide long non-coding RNA. The record is from Ensembl. NCBI's taxonomy places the organism in Eukaryota, Metazoa, Chordata, Mammalia, Artiodactyla, Bovidae.
UGAAUUUCCUCACUGAGCUAUCCUUAUUCUACUACUCUUUAUAUCCUUGAUUAACGUUUAAUUAAGCAGUUGUUUCCUGAUCCUCGCCGACGCCGUCCCCGCUUCGAAUACCCUGGAUCAGCCGGGGCUGGACCCCGGCAUACCUCCAUCACCACGGAAGUGUUCCAAGUUCUGGCCGCUGGGUUGGGUUGCAUCACCACUUUUGAAGACUCUGCUGGAGGAAAUCUGAAGCAACAAACCAGAUGCGCUUGGGCAGCUGGCUUCACACCAGUGUUCGAAGCAGGCAAAGCCCCUGCUCGCCCUUCCCCUUUCCUCUCCACGGCUGCUCUGCCCAGAACCAGGACCCUCAGAUCUCCAGAGGAGGAAACUGAGGCUCAGAGACGAGGCAGAGGGGUGCCCGAGGCAGCCUCGGGGGCCUGGGAACAGGAAAGAACUGGCGGCGAGGCCUCCUCCAGCGGACCACCACUUGCUCUGCAAAGGAGUGAGAGCAGCUUGGCGCCCUCCCGUAGAGCUCAGACCCACUGCCUGGACACAGAGCGCCCAGCUGAGAAGAGGAGAAAGCGGGAACCUGCCGGUCCCGCAGAUCCGCCGCCCAUCAGGGCGCUUCCUACACUCUGAGAAGGACAAGCGGAGAGAAGGAGCGCGGGUUCUGUAACUGAAGCCACAUGGGUCCUUGCUUACUCUUUGAAAGCUUCUCCAACGGACGGCCUCUCCUCUCCAGCAGCAUCCCUGCAGGAUGAGCGUGUCCCGGUUCCCAAAAGAAGGCAGGCCUGGGAGCCCGCCAGCCACCCUCAUGUAGACACUGUGAGGCUCUCAGACCCACGGCCAUUACCAGGAUGACCCCAGGAAACCUCACACCGCUCAGCAGAUGACAGGGACGACUUGGGACGGCCACACGCGAGGGCUGAAAGACACCUGCAGAGACGCUUCUCCAUAUCAGGCCCCAUCCUGAGGCCCUGGGUGGACAUGAAAACCAGGGACGCUGUUCAGUCCAGUGCCACGUCGCGUGAAGCCAGCAUCCGGCCGGACCCGUGCAGACGGAGUGCUCUGGGCAGGUCGCUUCCAGCCUCUCGGAGCCCAGCAUCCGGCCGGACCCGUGCAGACGGAGUGCUCUGGGCAGGUCGCUUCCAGCCUCUCGGAGCCCAGCAUCCGGCCGGACCCGUGCAGACGGAGUGCUCUGGGCAGGUCGCUUCCAGCCUCUCGGAGCCCAGCAUCCGGCCGGACCCGUGCAGACGGAGAGCUCUAGGCAGGUCGUUUCCAGUCUCUCAGAGCCUCAAGUGCCACACCUGUUACUCGAGAUGCAUACAGAACUCCUGGCUCCUCCCUGGCCUCUUUGGAGCAGUUCCCCAGAGCCAUCGGAGAAGACGGUUUCCCGGCUAUAGUCCUCAGUAAGGUCCCUCAACAAAGCCAAACUCAAAACGUGUGUGUGUGUUUUCAGUUGCCACGUUCUGGAAUUCCUGGCUGUAAAACGGAUGAAUGUUCACACUGACAAUUACAAACGGCCUCAGGUCAGCGUACAUCAGGUUUCACACCCAAUGACCUGUCGGGGGAAAAUGUGCCUUGUGGAGACUUUUGUGUUUCCAAAUUGUGAAUCCAGGGUCUUGGAGAGAGAUACACGCGCAGACUGAACUCAAAGGAUGCUUAGGUGGUGGAGCCCGCCCUGCCCGCCCUGGAAGGAACACGGGCGUUACUGUGCCGUCAUCCGUGGUCAAGGGACUGCCUUCAAUCAACAGCUUCUUGCUGAUGGACAUAUCAGUUCU